UGUACUGUAAAAAGCAAGAUCGCCCGAGGCGUUACACCUCGAACCAGUAAAACUUGUCGUACGCUAGUGCUAAAGUGCGCGGAGCCGCGGCGGAACGCCGCCGAACAGUCCCGACGCCGCUGCCGAGCCGGUGGAAACGGUCCGUCGACGCGCAGCCGCUGACCCCGUUGGCUGCUGAUCGCAGUUGUCUUCUCCGCGACAAUCGUUAUCGGUAUCGAACCACGAUCUACCGGAGAGUCUUCGUGUCACCCACCCCCCUCGGGCGCAGGAGCAGGUAGCAGGAGGAAUGAAAGACGAGUUAGCUCCCCAGGGAAUUUAUUUCCACCGUCGCUGACGUCUCGCGCGGUUUCGUCUUUGGCUCCAGCGAUGUACUAUGUCUUUCGCCGUCGAAGGUCGACCGUCUCCGACGCGCGCGCGUCACGGGUAACAUGCGGGAGAUCCUUGGCAAUGGCACCGUUCAGGCGAUCUUGACACGUGACGAGUAAUCUGCUUACGUUCCCAGUCCUUGGUGUACAUGGACGGUUAACUGGAGCACACGCCACGUGGAAGACGUUAUUCGAGUAAUCUGAGAACACCCGGCACAAGGACACCGGCAAAAACCGGGGAGUGACAUAAUCCAGGACACAAAGGGCCGAACAGUCGCAUGGUCCCGUACUUAUCGUUCUCCAGCACGGUCGACCUAUCGCAUUGCGAGCUGGGCUGGUUCGGUGUCAGAUUGUAGCAGUAGGGAUAAGCGUAGUAGCCCCAGCUGGCGGACGGUCUAAUCUCCUUGGCAGCCCUCAAUGUUUCCUCCAUGAAAAGUUUCCCGUACUUCUCGAAGCUGCGCCUCGCUUCCUGCUCCACCGCCCGGCUGCUCCAGAACGGGUGCUGUUUCCGCGCCAACUCAAUGGAGAAGUCCUUAUACGGCUGAAGGGAAGCCCAGUUCUGCCUGAAGAUCGGUCGCCAACUUUCAAAAUCGAUCACGCCGACGCCGUUAAACGACUCGUCGGGUAUCUGCUCGGUUAAGUGCUUCCGAAAGAUCUCCAGAUGCUUGGACACCGUACGCGCACCAAGGAGCCGCGUCGUUUACCGUCCGAAUCCUUCAGCAACGCUGGGAACAUCCCCGGGUCGUAGAGGAUCGCGAUCUUGUCCCCCCGGAACUCGUCCAUCUUGUUCUGAAGGAUCCCGUACACCUCGGACACCUCCUCGAAACGCAUGCCGUACUUGUGGCACAUGAAUGUGGGCACGUUCCAGUACACGUUGAAACGCCUGUCCUCGUCCUUCGGCGUGACCGGUCGGAAGCUAGGGAAGAGAAGACACAACAGAAGAGGUGUUAGACGGCCGUGCCCGGAGCGGCAGGACAAGCUUGCCAACGUUCGCGAAGCGGAUCGAAGUUUGUUUGAAGGCGAAGCGAUUUAAAUUUAAAACGGGAGCGGGACUAGACAGGCACCCCGUUCUAGCGGCGGAUGGUUCGACGUUAGGUGUACCCGAAUAGAAAUCCGUUGGCGAGCGCGGGGCCCAGCAGGAACAACGCUGUCAGCGACAUUCUUCGGCCAUAGGAACAUGAACCUUGACGCACAGUGUCCAUCGAUGACUGGGUUUGAUACGUCCGUAACACGCGUGCAAGGCGAACGAAGAUGAUUAUCGAUCCGGCGGCCAGGACCGGAAUGAUUCCGCGAUGACCCCCCGGGUGAACGAAGUUCCUUCGCGGAUACCACGCGGACGACGAUGGCACAACAGAGCGGUGC
Long non-coding RNA from Nomia melanderi (Alkali bee), 1727 nucleotides. RefSeq lists it as uncharacterized. Lineage: Eukaryota; Metazoa; Arthropoda; Insecta; Hymenoptera; Halictidae. The record is from RefSeq and is a predicted model, not a curated record.